Molecule: ribosomal RNA, 449 nt
Filed under: uncultured bacterium
Lineage: Bacteria
Description: partial 16S ribosomal RNA
Rfam family: Bacterial small subunit ribosomal RNA
Source: RNAcentral
AGCGAACGCUGGCGGCAGGCUUAACACAUGCAAGUCGAACGGGCACUUCGGUGCUAGUGGCAGACGGGUGAGUAACGCGUGGGAACGUACCUUUCGGUUCGGAAUAAUUCAGGGAAACUUGGACUAAUACCGGAUACGCCCUUCGGGGGAAAGAUUUAUCGCCGAAAGAUCGGCCCGCGUCUGAUUAGCUAGUUGGUGAGGUAAAGGCUCACCAAGGCGACGAUCAGUAGCUGGUCUGAGAGGAUGAUCAGCCACAUUGGGACUGAGACACGGCCCAAACUCCUACGGGAGGCAGCAGUGGGGAAUAUUGGACAAUGGGCGCAAGCCUGAUCCAGCCAUGCCGCGUGAGUGAUGAAGGCCUUAGGGUUGUAAAGCUCUUUUGUCCGGGAAGAUAAUGACUGUACCGGAAGAAUAAGCCCCGGCUAACUUCGUGCCAGCCGCCGCGGUAA